UACGUAGGGUGCGAGCGUUGUCCGGAAUUAUUGGGCGUAAAGAGCUCGUAGGCGGUGUGUCACGUCGGCCGUGAAAACCUGCAGCUUAACUGUGGGCGUGCGGUCGAUACGGGCAUCACUGGAGUUCGGCAGGGGAGACUGGAAUUCCUGGUGUAGCGGUGAAAUGCGCAGAUAUCGGGAGGAACACCGGUGGCGAAGGCGGGUCUCUGGGCCGGUACUGACGCUGAUGCGCGAAAGCGUGGGGAGCAAACGGG
RNAcentral lists this ribosomal RNA (254 nucleotides) under uncultured bacterium. RNAcentral's name for it is "partial 16S ribosomal RNA". It matches the Rfam family "Bacterial small subunit ribosomal RNA", at positions 524 to 776 of the family's 1533-position model. The record is from RNAcentral.